GAGUUUGAUCCUGGCUCAGAUUGAACGCUGGCGGCAGGCCUAACACAUGCAAGUCGAGCGGAUGACGGGAGCUUGCUCCUUGAUUCAGCGGCGGACGGGUGAGUAAUGCCUAGGAAUCUGCCUGGUAGUGGGGGGACAACGUUUCGAAAGGAACGCUAAUACCGCAUACGUCCUACGGGAGAAAGCAGGGGACCUUCGGGCCUUGCGCUAUCAGAUGAGCCUAGGUCGGAUUAGCUAGUUGGUGGGGUAAAGGCUCACCAAGGCGACGAUCCGUAGCAGGUCUGAGAGGAUGAUCUGCCACACUGGAACUGAGACACGGUCCAGACUCCUACGGGAGGCAGCAGUGGGGAAUUUUGGACAAUGGGGGCAACCCUGAUCCAGCCAUGCCGCGUGAGUGAAGAAGGCCUCGGUU
RNAcentral lists this ribosomal RNA (412 nucleotides) under bacterium enrichment culture clone ALO1_GLFRUDD03G6LGH. RNAcentral's name for it is "bacterial SSU rRNA". It matches the Rfam family "Bacterial small subunit ribosomal RNA", at positions 9 to 424 of the family's 1533-position model. The record is from RNAcentral.